UACGUAGGUGGCAAGCGUUGUCCGGAAUUAUUGGGCGUAAAGCGCGCGCAGGCGGUCCUUUAAGUCUGAUGUGAAAGCCCACGGCUCAACCGUGGAGGGUCAUUGGAAACUGGAGGACUUGAGUGCAGAAGAGGAAAGUGGAAUUCCAUGUGUAGCGGUGAAAUGCGUAGAGAUAUGGAGGAACACCAGUGGCGAAGGCGACUUUCUGGUCUGUAACUGACACUGAGGCGCGAAAGCGUGGGGAGCAAACAGG
This 253-nucleotide ribosomal RNA is filed under the name uncultured microorganism. RNAcentral describes it as "partial 16S ribosomal RNA". It matches the Rfam family "Bacterial small subunit ribosomal RNA", at positions 524 to 776 of the family's 1533-position model. The record is from RNAcentral.